RNAcentral lists this ribosomal RNA (467 nucleotides) under uncultured bacterium. Its description in RNAcentral is "SSU rRNA". It matches the Rfam family "Bacterial small subunit ribosomal RNA", at positions 26 to 518 of the family's 1533-position model. The record is from RNAcentral.
AGGACGAACGCUGGCGGCGUGCUUAACACAUGCAAGUCGAGCGGAAAGGCCCUUCGGGGUACUCGAGCGGCGAACGGGUGAGUAACACGUGAGUAAUCUGCCCCUAGCUCUGGGAUAGCUCCGGGAAACCGGGAUUAAUACCAGAUACGACCACUUUAGACAUCUGUUGUGGUGGAAAGAAUUUUGGCUAGGGAUGAGCUCGCGGCCUAUCAGCUUGUGGUGAGGUAACGGCUCACCAAGCGACGACGGGUAGCCGGCCUGAGAGGACGAUCAGCCACACUGGGAUUGAGAACGGCCCAGACUCCUACGGGGGCAGCAGUGAGGAAUUUUCGUCAAUGGGGGCAACCCUGAACGAGCAACGCCGCGUGCAGGAAGAAGGUUUUCGGAUCGUAAACUGCUUUUCUCGGGGAAGAGAACGGACGGUACCCGAGGAAUCGAGCCCCGGCUAACUACGUGCCAGCAGCCGC